AGUAGGCUAACUCGUGCGUACGAAUGGAUGUACGUCUAAGCAGUGAGGCGUGGUAUGAGUCAAAUGCUUAUACCUGUAACGUUGAGCUGUGAUGGGGAGCGAAGUUUAGUAGCGAGUGAGUGAUGUCACACUGCCAAGAAAAGCUUCUAGCGUUGUAUCAUACUCUACCCGUACCGCAAACCGACACAGGUAGUCGAGGCGAGUAGCCUCAGGUGAGCGAGAGAACUCUCGUUAAGGAACUCGGCAAAAUGACCCCGUAACUUCGGGAGAAGGGGUGCUGACUUUGGUCAGCCGCAGUGAAUAGGCCCAAGCAACUGUUUAUCAAAAACACAGCUCUCUGCUAAAUCGUAAGAUGAUGUAUAGGGGGUGACGCCUGCCCGGUGCUGGAAGGUUAAGAGGAGUGCUUAGCGUAAGCGAGGGUAUGAAUUGAAGCCCCAGUAAACGGCGGCCGUAACAAUAACGGUCCUAAGGUAGCGAAAUUCCUUGUCGGGUAAGUUCCGACCGCACGAAAGGCGUAAUGAUUUGGGCACUGUCUCAACGAG
Molecule: ribosomal RNA, 542 nt
Filed under: uncultured Streptococcus sp.
Lineage: Bacteria; Bacillati; Bacillota; Bacilli; Lactobacillales; Streptococcaceae
Description: bacterial LSU rRNA
Rfam family: Bacterial large subunit ribosomal RNA
Source: RNAcentral